UACGGAGGUGGCGAGCGUUGUUCGGAAUUACUGGGCGUAAAGGGCGCGUAGGCGGCUUUGCAAGUCAGAUGUGAAAGCCCCGGGCUUAACUCGGGAACUGCAUCUGAAACUGCUUAGCUUGAGUCCUGGAGGGGGUAGUGGAAUUCCCAGUGUAGCGGUGAAAUGCGUAGAUAUUGGGAGGAACACCUGCGGCGAAGGCGGCUACCUGGACAGUGACUGACGCUGAGGCGCGAAAGCUAGGGGAGCGAACGGG
Molecule: ribosomal RNA, 253 nt
Filed under: uncultured bacterium
Lineage: Bacteria
Description: partial 16S ribosomal RNA
Rfam family: Bacterial small subunit ribosomal RNA
Source: RNAcentral